CAAAGGCGAGUACCGUUAAUUAGAAAUUCCGCGGGAAGGAGUCGCACGAGAAAUGUGUUGUGUUCGGAAUUCAUAUUGUUGUUAGCUCAACUGACUCUCUUAUUACUGUUUUAACCACACACUGUACGAAGGAAUGUCAUUUAUGCACACCGACCUGGGAUAAGAUGCUGGCGUGAGUGUUCACUGAUGCAGAACCAUCAACACUACAGUGACUGACAGCCAGUUAAAUACAUACUAAAAUUUAACAAGUGGGAUAUCACACACGCAGGAGUUCUCAACAGUCUAGAUUUGUGUCACGGACUUGUCUGAUGUGGCUUUAAUUAACAGGAUUCACCUUUUUAUCUCGUCGACACGGAACUCAGAAAAAGGUCCAGGAAAGUGGGGUUGAAAUCAAUUUAGCAAAAUAUAAUAGCUGAGCGGCAAAGAGGGACCGAAAUCGGCAAGACAGGUAAGUGAUACAAAUUAUCAAGACAGGUAAGUGAUAAAUUUUAUCAAGACAAGUAAGUGAUACAUUUAUCAAGAAAAGGAAAAAACAAAAAAAAA
Pecten maximus is the source of this 543-nucleotide long non-coding RNA. RefSeq lists it as uncharacterized. The transcript has 3 exons. Lineage: Eukaryota; Metazoa; Mollusca; Bivalvia; Pectinida; Pectinidae. The record is from RefSeq and is a predicted model, not a curated record.